CCUACGGGAGGCAGCAGUGGGGAAUAUUGCACAAUGGGGGAAACCCUGAUGCAGCGACGCCGCGUGAGCGAAGAAGUAUUUCGGUAUGUAAAGCUCUAUCAGCAGGGAAGAAGAAAUGACGGUACCUGACUAAGAAGCACCGGCUAAAUACGUGCCAGCA
RNAcentral lists this ribosomal RNA (160 nucleotides) under uncultured bacterium. RNAcentral describes it as "partial 16S ribosomal RNA". It matches the Rfam family "Bacterial small subunit ribosomal RNA", at positions 338 to 513 of the family's 1533-position model. The record is from RNAcentral.